GUGAUUCUCUUCACUUCCGAUUUCAAAUUGUUCAAAUCAGUUUUAUAUUCUCUCAGUUUGGCAAGAAGCAUGGCCUUCACACUUGGUGGCAAGCUCCUAGCUUCAAGAUCCAUUUUACGUAUCUAGAUAUUAAGCUAAAAGUCAACAACAGGUUGUGUAUUCAGCAAAACCAGCAAUGCACAAAAGCAUAUACUACAUAUAUAUAUGGAGAGCUCUGCUUAUAGAAUUCUCUCAUGAGCUAUCAGUUAAAUUCUAUCUGCUGCUUAAGUACAUAAAAGCCCAGAGUUAUGGUAUUCAUGGUAAAUAAGUCUUUUUCUACAAACUUAACCUCAUUUAGAAAUGGAAAAUUAUUGAAAA
Molecule: long non-coding RNA, 357 nt
Organism: Salvia miltiorrhiza (redroot sage)
Lineage: Eukaryota; Viridiplantae; Streptophyta; Magnoliopsida; Lamiales; Lamiaceae
Exons: 2
Source: RefSeq, a predicted model, not a curated record